Molecule: ribosomal RNA, 301 nt
Filed under: uncultured bacterium
Lineage: Bacteria
Description: partial 16S ribosomal RNA
Rfam family: Bacterial small subunit ribosomal RNA
Source: RNAcentral
CAGUCGCCACGGGAAUACGUAGGUGGCAAGCGUUGUCCGGAAUUAUUGGGCGUAAAGGGCUCGCAGGCGGUUUCUUAAGUCUGAUGUGAAGCCCCCGGCUCAACCGGGGAGGGUCAUUGGAAACUGGGAAACUUGAGUGCAGAAGAGGAGAGUGGAAUUCCACGUGUAGCGGUGAAAUGCGUAGAGAUGUGGAGGAACACCAGUGGCGAAGGCGACUCUCUGGCCUGUAACUGACGCUGAGGAGCGAAAGCGUGGGGAGCGAACAGGAUUAGAUACCCCAGUAGUCCCUGUCUCUUAUACC